UUGACCUCGGAUCAGUAGGGAUAC
Molecule: ribosomal RNA, 24 nt
Filed under: Cladonia furcata
Lineage: Eukaryota; Fungi; Ascomycota; Lecanoromycetes; Lecanorales; Cladoniaceae
Also listed under: 3 other names
Description: partial 28S ribosomal RNA
Source: RNAcentral